UGGGAUGACGUCAAAUCAUCAUGCCCCUUAUGUUCUGGGCUACACACGUGCUACAAUGGCCGGUACAGACGGACGCAAAGCCGCGAGGUGGAGCAAAUCCUAAAAAGCCGGUCUCAGUUCGGAUUGCAGGCUGCAAUUCGCCUGCAUGAAGUCGGAAUCGCUAGUAAUCGCAGGUCAGCAUACUGCGGUGAAUACGUUCCCGGGCCUU
This 208-nucleotide ribosomal RNA is filed under the name uncultured Bacillus sp. RNAcentral describes it as "partial 16S ribosomal RNA". It matches the Rfam family "Bacterial small subunit ribosomal RNA", at positions 1175 to 1382 of the family's 1533-position model. The record is from RNAcentral. Lineage: Bacteria; Bacillati; Bacillota; Bacilli; Caryophanales; Bacillaceae.